UCUGUCUACAUAGUUGGUAUGGGUUGAGGUCCAGAACCAGAAAGGAGCAGUCACUUUGUUCGGGGUUUUUCACAGACCCCCUAUAGAUGCAGAGAAGUGGAGGAGGGAAUUGGGAGACAGAUACCAGAAAGGUGCAGAGUCACAAGGUUGUAGUCAUGGGUGACUUCAACUUUCCAAAUAUUGAUUGGAAACUUUUUAGUUGUAGUAGUUUAGAUGGAGCAGAUUUUGUCCGGUGUGUUCAGGAAGGAUUCCUGACACAGUACGUAGAUAGACCAACAUGAAGAGAGGCCACUUUGGAUUUGGCACUUAGCAAUGAACUGGGUCAAGUAUUAGACCUGUUGGUAGGACAGCAUUUUGGCGUAGCCAUCAUAACUCUGUUACUUUUACAAUAGUCAUGGAAAAGGAUAGGUACAUACAGCAGGGUAAGGUCUAUAAUUGGGGGAAGGCCGAUUACAAUUCUGUUAGGCAAGCACUGGGUAACAUUAAAUGGGAACUGAUGCUGUCAGGGAAGAGCACUAUUGAAAUGUGGAGAUUAUUUAAGGAAUGCAUACUGCGUGUGCUCGGUAUGUUUGUCUCCGGCAGGCAGGGAAGAUGCAGUCGAGUGAGGGAUCCUUGGUUCUCAAGAAAGGUCGAACGACUAGUUAAGAGGAAGAAGGAUGCUUACAUAAAGCUUAGGAAACAAGGAGUGGAAAAUCCUCUAGAAGGACACAGGUUAGCCAGGAAGGUGUUGAAGAACGGGCUUAGAAGAGCUAUAAGGGGGCAUGAGGAAACCUUGGCAGGAUCAUAGGAUCAAGGAAAACUCCAAGGCUUUUUACACAUAUGUGAGGAAUAACAGAAUGACCAGAGAAAGGGUAGGGUUGAUCAAGGAUUGCAAAGGAAAUUUGUGCACGGAGCCUAUAGAGAUAAGAGAGGUCCUUUAUGAAUAUUUUUCUACGGUAUUUACAACUGAGAGACACCUAGUUGUAGAGGAGGACAGUGUGAAACAGGCUAUUAGACUAGAGGAGGUGGAUGUUAGUAAGAAAGAUGUACUAGGAAUUUUGAGGAACUUGAAGACAGAUCAGUCCCCUGGGCCUGUUGGGAAGCGAAGGAAGAGAUCGCAGGGCCUUUGGCAUUGAUCUUUUUGUCAUCACUGUCCAUGGGCAUUGUGCCGGAAGAUCAGAGAGAGGUAAAUGUCAUUCCCUUGUUCAAAAAAGGGAAUAGAAUUAACCCUGGAAAUUACAGGCCAGUUAGUCUUACGUCAGUGGUGGGCAAGUUAUUGGAAAGGGCUCUGAGAGAUACAAUUUGUGAUCACUUAGAAAAGCACAGUUUGAUUCAUGACAGUCAGUAUGGAUUUUGUGAGGGGUAGAUCAUGCCUCACAAACCUUAUUGAAUUCUUUGAAGAGGUGACCAAACACGUCAAUGAAGAUGGAGCAGUGGAUGCGGCAUACAUGGAUUUAAACAAGGCAUUCGAUAAGGUUCCCCAUGGCUCAUGCAGAAGAUGAGGAGGAAUGUGCUGGACACCCUCCUAGGAAUGGGAUACGAUGCUCAACUCAUCGAUCACCAGUUCUGACUGCCACAGCAAAAUAACCACAAUGACCUCCUCAGAAGACAGACACGGAAUAUGUCCGAUGGGGAAACCCCCCAUCGUCCAGUACUUUCAGGGAGCAGGGGAACUACACCAUAUUCUUCGCAGCCUUCAACAUAUCAUUGAUGACGAUGAGCACCUCACCAAGAUCUUCCCAAUGCCUUCACUUAUCACUUUUAAACAACUGCCAAACCUUGGACAGAACAUUGCUCAUAGCAAACUACCCAGCCUUCACGACUACAUGAACCACAACACUACCCAACCCUGUCAUGGUAAGAUCUGAAAGUCAUGUCAGAUCUUUGACAUGGACGUUGCCAUCAUGCAUGGGGACAUCAUGCAUGUUCACAGCAGAUACUCAUGUGACACAGACAAUGUUGCCUACCUGUAAUCAAGGGUGCCCUAAGGCAUGGUUUAUUGUUAAAGCCAUGCAGACACUAUAACAAUAGAUGAAUGGACACCGUGCAACAAUCACCGGACAAGGAUGUUCCCUCCCAGUGGGGCAACGCUCCAGCAGUGGACAGUCAGCCUCCAACUUUCUGAGAAACAUCCUCCAAGGUGGAUGUUGGGAUACACCACAACACAGAGUCGCCAAACAGAGGCUGAUAUUCAAGUUCAGUACCCAAUAAAACUGCCUCAACUGGGAUCUUGGGUCUUGGGUUCAUGUCACUCAACACCCUCUUACACACGCAUACGCACACGCACGUAGUCUCCCUCUCUCCCUCACACACGCACCCAUGCACUGUCUCUCCAUCACACUUGCAUGCACAUAUACAUAUACACACACUCUCUCUUUCCCAAAUCUACAGGGUGAAUUUGUACUUACAGAUACAUUCUAUUUUGGUCAAAAAAUACUGCACAAUUUUGGGACAGUCAGUCAAUGUGGCAUUUUACAAAUUCGUACUUUAGAAAUAAAACCAGUCUGACUCCAAAUCAAAACACAAACAGAUUCUAAACGAGGCCUCACACCUAACAUGCAUUAUCUGACCUAAAAUAUCACCUCUUCUUCAGUCAGAUGAAACCUUCAGUUCUCUCAGGACAGUGACUUGAAAGGAAUUCAAGUAAUUACAUAUAUGUAUUAAUCGAUUAAAACCUGCUAACUCAUUGAAUAUUUAACAACAUUUUUGGGUUGUUCAGUUCAUCCUCAUCAAUGGUGUGACUCUUUGAUCUUUUAAUUAUAAAUUCUGUGUCUUGAUACCACCUCAUUAACACCUGAAGAAGGACUGAAAUCCAAAUGCUUAUGUUUUCAAAUAAACCUGUUGGACUAUAA
Molecule: long non-coding RNA, 2831 nt
Organism: Stegostoma tigrinum
Lineage: Eukaryota; Metazoa; Chordata; Chondrichthyes; Orectolobiformes; Stegostomatidae
Exons: 2
Source: RefSeq, a predicted model, not a curated record